RNA transcript from Musa acuminata AAA Group (dessert banana), 2380 nucleotides. It is a transcript of the gene named aspartokinase 2, chloroplastic-like, with no coding region annotated. The record is from RefSeq and is a predicted model, not a curated record. The transcript has 18 exons. NCBI's taxonomy places the organism in Eukaryota, Viridiplantae, Streptophyta, Magnoliopsida, Zingiberales, Musaceae.
GCCCGCCUACCACUCUUCCGCCGCCCCGCUCGCGCUCUCUCUCUCUCUCUCUCUCCUUCGUUGUCUCGUCCCCGACGAGGGCCGUCCUUCUCCCUCUUCCCAUUACGUUCUUCGAGGAUUGGCGACAAGAUUUGAUUUUACCCCUAGCGAUGGCAGUGGCCACACAGUUUGGUGGUCGAUCCUGUUGUGUUGUGGUUAAGAGGGAUUUGUCGACUUCUCUUUCUUUCUCUUCGAGCUUCCAGAGUAAGCUCGGAUUUGAGUCGUCUUCGAGGUCACUCUGUCGGCAGAGGGAGGGGAUAUGCGGAAAGAGGAGAGUUUUGAAGGUGCGUUGCGAGAGAAGGGUGUCUGCCGUUGUGGACGUUGUGGAGAAGGAUGUGGCCUUGAGGCAAGGUAGUGGCGGGAAUCCUGCCCAGCUCAGCAUCGUGAUGAAGUUUGGCGGGUCGUCAGUAGCUUCAGCUGAGAGGAUGAAAGAGGUUGCUGGCCUCAUUUUUAGCUUUCCCGAAGAACGACCAGUGAUCGUGCUCUCUGCCAUGGGCAAGACGACAAACAAUCUUUUGCUGGCUGGAGAAAAGGCGGUUUGCUGUGGUGUUUCUAAUGUAUCUGAAUUGCAUGAGUUAAGCUUUGUGAAAGAGUUGCAUCUCAAGACAGUUGAUGAGCUUGGGCUUUAUAGGACAAUUAUUUCUGGUUUUCUGGUUGAACUAGAGCAACUUCUGAAAGGCAUUGCCAUGAUGAAAGAACUAACACCUCGCACAAGUGACUAUCUCGUUUCCUUUGGUGAAUGCAUGUCUACGAGAAUUUUUGCAGCAUAUUUAAACAAGAUUGGCACUAAAGCACGACAGUAUGAUGCAUUCGACAUUGGUAUUAUUACCACAGAUGACUUUACAAAUGCUGAUAUCUUGGAAGCAACUUAUCCUGCUGUUGCAAAGAGGUUGCAUGGUGAUUGGACUAAUGAUCCAGCAAUUCCAAUCGUUACUGGUUUUCUUGGAAAGGGUUGGAAAUCUGGUGCAGUAACUACCUUAGGCAGGGGUGGAAGUGACUUGACUGCCACAACUAUAGGUAAAGCUUUGGGUUUACGUGAAAUUCAGGUUUGGAAGGACAUUGAUGGUGUUUUAACAUGUGAUCCUAAUAUAUAUCCAAAUGCAAAGCCUGUGCCUCAUUUGACAUUUGAAGAGGCAGCUGAACUUGCCUAUUUUGGAUCACAGGUGUUGCAUCCCCAAUCAAUGCGGCCUGCCAGAGAAGGCGAUAUACCUGUUAGGGUCAAGAAUUCAUACAACCCUCAAGCUCCUGGAACUGUCAUCGAUAAAGUGAGAGAUAUGAGCAAGGCUGUACUAACCAGCAUUGUGUUGAAGUCAAAUAUUACAAUGUUGGACAUUGUGAGCACUCGAAUGCUUGGACAAUAUGGUUUUCUAGCAAAGGUUUUCUCUAUUUUUGAAGACUUAGGAAUUUCUGUCGACAGUGUGGCCACAAGCGAAGUCAGUGUAUCUUUGACAUUGGAUCCAUCUAAACUCUGGAGUAGAGAAUUAAUUCAGCAGGAGCUUGAUCGCGUAGUCGAGGAGCUCAAGAAGAUUGCUGUUGUCAAUCUCCUUCAGCACAGAUCAAUAAUCUCCCUUGUUGGAAAUGUUCAGAGGUCUUCUUUGAUACUAGAGAAGGCAUUCAAUGUUCUUCGCAAGAGUGGUGUGAAUGUCCAAAUGAUCUCUCAGGGAGCAUCAAAGGUCAACAUUUCCUUGGUGGUUCAUGAUAGCGAAGCAAAGCAGUGCAUCAGAGCUCUGCAUUCAGCCUUCUUCGAGAAUAGCUCUCUUCCAGAAGUAGAGAGCUUCCCACCCUGUGUCUAAGCUGCGGACUCAAGCUUCUUCACCAGAGAGGUCAAUUUGCAUGUGGCAACCAGCGCCCUUGAAGAAUAAACCACUUCUUCCCCCGCCGUCCAACCCGGCGCAUAGAGAGAGGAGGCCUAUCAUCAGAUCCACAUUACUACUACACUGCUACAGCUGCAAGUAGUGACAUGCUUUCCGAAAUCCUCAGUAAAUAUUCCAUUCAAAAUGGCAAGAGACAGCGUGCAAUGUGCCACCGCUUAGGCAUGACAUCGAGCGGCCUUCGUGGCGCCAUUUCGUUAAGUCUCCAUGACGUUGGCGCCUCCCGAGGUCUCCGUGCCCGAGGUUACUAUAUCUUCUCUAGCCACCGUCGUAGCGACCAGAGAGGAUUCGGCGCUUGCGUCCCCGCUCCGGCGUUGAGGUGAAGAACGGUAAAAUGUCACGUAACCAGCUAUGGCUAUUGUUGUUACUUGUGCUGUUAUCUUGUAUAGCAGACAGUGUAUCAACAAUGAAUCAGCAAAAAGAUCGGUCGAUCAAAUCUGCAGUCUUCCUCUCUCCUCCUUUCUUUCUAC